UCCUGGCUUAGGAUGAACGCUGGCGGCGUGCCUAACACAUGCAAGUCGAACGAGAUCCAUUAAUUGAAGCUUCGGCAGAUUUAGGAGAUCGAGUGGCGGACGGGUGAGUAACGCGUGGGUAACCUGCCUUACAGAGGGGGAUAACAGAGAGAAAUUUCUGCUAAUACCGCAUAAGCACACAGUACCGCAUGGUACAGGGUGAAAAGAUUUAUCACUGUAAGAUGGACCCGCGUCUGAUUAGCCAGUUGGCAGGGUAAACGGCCUACCAAAGCGACGAUCAGUAGCCGACCUGAGAGGGUGAUCGGCCACAUUGGGACUGAGACACGGCCCAAACUCCUACGGGAGGCAGCAGUGGGGGAUAUUGCACAAUGGAGGAAACUCUGAUGCAGCCGACGCCGCGUGAGUGAAGAAGUAUUUCGGUAUGUAAAGCUCUAUCAGCAGGGAAGAUAAUGACAGUACCUGACUAAGAAGCCCCGGCUAACUACGUGCCAGCCGCUGC
RNAcentral lists this ribosomal RNA (499 nucleotides) under uncultured bacterium. RNAcentral's name for it is "bacterial SSU rRNA". It matches the Rfam family "Bacterial small subunit ribosomal RNA", at positions 17 to 518 of the family's 1533-position model. The record is from RNAcentral.